Molecule: long non-coding RNA, 1666 nt
Organism: Vanessa tameamea
Lineage: Eukaryota; Metazoa; Arthropoda; Insecta; Lepidoptera; Nymphalidae
Exons: 2
Source: RefSeq, a predicted model, not a curated record
UAAAGAAAAUUUUCAUGAACAUAGCAAAAGGCUCGAGCGCGGCAAAUGCGCUAGCGUCAUACACUCUCGCGUCAGAACCCGUCGAUGACGUGGCCUUAGUAGUUUCUCUGCCAAAUGUGACUCAGGUUCUUUAUAAAACGACGCUCGCUGACCAAACAUCACGCAUUUCACAUCAAGUCUCCGUCCACUCAGCGGUAGAUAAUAUCGAUAUCACAAGUGUCAAAUGUUUGUAAACGGUGUCCAAGUUAUCAGUUCACACUUGAAUAACAUUACAUUGAAUUCAAUCAGUAUACAAGGAAAUAUGCAUCAAAACAAUGAAAAGACAGAGGUGUGCCAGAAGGGCAGACUUCCACCAAUGUUGCAUCUCACACCUUCCGGUACAAAUCAAAAAAGGGUCGACAGCAGUCCUCACCAAAAGAUCGACAACCCUUGGCUACUGAAACCUCAACACGAAAUGCCGCCCACGCCUCCGCCCCAAGCCGACCAAAAACCCGCUAGUUUCUUUCAACAAAGAAUUGGAUAAAUCUUUAAUAGGACAGUUGAAAAUAAUCGAAAUAACAUUGUUAUGGCAAGUUGCCAUCUUGCCGAAAUACGGACUUUCGAAUAAGUCAUAUAAAAAUACUCCAUUACGUUAAUAAAGCAAACACGUAAAUAAUGAGUCGGGAUCAAGGAAUAAUUUUGCCAAACUGUGACACAAGGAAAGUGAGGCGGGGUGAUCAUGACAUGUACAUAUAUGUGCGUCAACAUUUCUGAGAGAUCGAGUGGAUAAACGUUGUGUAUUAUGUUUAAAGUUAGUAGGAAUUAGGAACCUUAUUGGAUGUUUUGUAUAAAUGCGUUUUUGACUGUAGUAGGGACAUCAAUAAUAUAAUGUAAAUAUAAAUAAGUAGCGUUAAGUUAUUGAUACUAAAGUAUAAUGAAACGUGUUAAGUUUAAGUACUUAUUUUUAAAUAUGCUAUGAAUGAAUAAAUAUAAUAAUUCAAUUUAAAAAGACGUAUUUAGUAAUCGUAUAUUUUAUGUGAACGCAAGUUAAAAUAACAAUUAGGUCAGACAGUAAAAAUUACUAUUUAUUGUUUCCAGUAUUAAAGUAAAAAAAAUAUAAAUGAAUCCAUCGAAAUUCGACCAGAGCUUUAUCACGUUUGUAAUGUGUAGGAACUGUGCCAAAAAUGUGAAUAUGAAAUUCUAUGUAGUUAGUGACAUGUUAUGUACAACAUAACUGCAAGUAUAUAGCUUUUAACAAUGAAUAGUAGUUAUAACGAGUCCAUAUUACCACUUUCGCGACUAACUCUACUCUCAUAAUCGCUAUAUACUCGUAGCUUAAUUCUGAUGUUGUUUAUUCCUUUCAAGUAGAUUAAUCCCUUUAAUAAGAAUCCUUAUAAACUCUGUCAAGUGAAUAUUAUUUUAUAUACUUCGUACAGUCCUUCUUAGGUUUCAUAUUACGAUAUUAACAUUCAAUAUUUUUUAACGUUGAAGAUUAAAAACAAAAUCAUUAAAACUUUUCCAUAUACCUAAUUAGUUACAAGAAUAUGCCAAGUGAUUCGGUUGUUAUUUAUAAUGAGAAAAAACAAGCAAUAAAAAUUACGUUACGAACAAACAAUACAGUACAAUAAUAAUGGUUGCUGGGAGUAAAGUUCAAUUGUCUAAUAAAAUGUGUACUUUAAUCUUUCUA